AUUGAACGCUGGCGGCAUGCCCUACACAUGCAAGUCGAACGGCAGCACGGGAGCAAUCCUGGUGGCGAGUGGCGAACGGGUGAGUAAAGUAUCGGAACGUGCCCAGUCGUGGGGGAUAACCUAGCGAAAGUUACGCUAAUACCGCAUACGAUCUAUGGAUGAAAGCGGGGGAUCGCAAGACCUCGCGCGAUUGGAGCGGCCGAUAUCAGAUUAGGUAGUUGGUGGGGUAAAGGCUCACCAAGCCGACGAUCUGUAGCUGGUCUGAGAGGACGACCAGCCACACUGGGACUGAGACACGGCCCAGACUCCUACGGGAGGCAGCAGUGGGGAAUUUUGGACAAUGGGCGAAAGCCUGAUCCAGCCAUGCCGCGUGCAGGAUGAAGGCCUUCGGGUUGUAAACUGCUUUUGUACGGAACGAAAAGGUUUGGGCUAAUAAGCUGAGCUCAUGACGGUACCGUAAGAAUAAGCACCGGCUAACUACGUGCCAGCCGCCGCCGUAA
Molecule: ribosomal RNA, 500 nt
Filed under: uncultured bacterium
Lineage: Bacteria
Description: partial 16S ribosomal RNA
Rfam family: Bacterial small subunit ribosomal RNA
Source: RNAcentral